This 457-nucleotide ribosomal RNA is filed under the name uncultured bacterium. RNAcentral's name for it is "bacterial SSU rRNA". It matches the Rfam family "Bacterial small subunit ribosomal RNA", at positions 355 to 825 of the family's 1533-position model. The record is from RNAcentral.
UCGAGAAUCUUCCACAAUGGGCGAAAGCCUGAUGGAGCGACGUCGCGUGAUUGAUGAAGUCUUUCGGGAUGUAAAGAUCUUUUAUGAAGGAGAAAGGCCGCAAGGCUUGAUAGUACUUCAUGAAUAAGGGGUUGCUAAACUCGUGCCAGCAGCAGCGGUAAUACGAGUGCCCCGAGCGUUAUCCGGAAUUAUUGGGCGUAAAGGGUGUGUAGGUGGCAGUGUUAGUCGUGUGUCAAAGCUCCCGGCCCAACCGGGAAAAGGCAUACGAAACGGCACAGCUCGAGAGUGUGAGGGGUCUAUGGAACUCAUGGUGUAGGGGUGAAAUCCGUUAAUAUCAUGGGGAACACCGAAGGCGAAGGCAGUAGACUAGCACAUUUCUGACACUGAAACACGAAAGCGUGGGUAGCGAAUGGGAUUAGAUACCCUUGUAGUCCCUGAGCGGGCUGGCAAGGCGCAU